Clupea harengus (Atlantic herring) is the source of this 304-nucleotide long non-coding RNA. RefSeq lists it as uncharacterized. The transcript is spliced from 3 exons. The record is from RefSeq and is a predicted model, not a curated record. Lineage: Eukaryota; Metazoa; Chordata; Actinopteri; Clupeiformes; Clupeidae.
UCAGUGGGAGGUGGUGUACACUGGACCUCAACAGGAACAUGUGUGUGAUGGUUUGGAACCUGGAACUUGGUUUAAACUCAGAGUGUACUGCCAAAGCCAGGGAGGAAAGAGUCAGGUGUCAGAGUGUCUGUCAGUGCAGACUGCACCAGUGCAUCCUGGUCCAUGCCGAGCGCUCCGUGUGUCUGGAGCCAUCACUCCCUCAGAGAUCACACUCAGCUGGGAUGCCCCAGACUGUGAUAGUGGGUCAGACAUGUGUCAGUAUGCAGUGGAGAUGGCUGACUCAGUGGACACGACGCACACACGU